GAUGAACGCUGGCGGCGUGCCUAAUACAUGCAAGUCGAACGAGGUGCUUUUGUAGUAAUACGAAAGUGUCCUAGUGGCGAACGGGUGAGUAACGCGUUGGUGACCUACCCCAAAGUGUGGGAUAACAGUUCGAAAGGAUUGCUAAUACCGCAUGUGGUCUUCGGAUUUAGAAACUGAUGACUAAAGGAGUAAUCCGCUUUGGGAGGGACCUGCGUCCCAUCAGCUAGUUGGUGAGGUAAUGGCUCACCAAGGCUACGACGGGUAGGGGACCUGAGAGGGUGACCCCCCACAAUGGAACUGAAACACGGUCCAUACACCUACGGGUGGCAGCAGUAGGGAAUAUUGCACAAUGGGCGAAAGCCUGAUGCAGCAACGCCGCGUGUGCGAUGAAGGCCUUCGGGUCGUAAAGACACUUUUCUGAGGGAGUGAGCAAGGACAGUACCUCAGGAAGUAACUACUCGGCUAACUACGUGCCAGCAGCCGCGGUAAU
Molecule: ribosomal RNA, 490 nt
Filed under: uncultured bacterium
Lineage: Bacteria
Description: bacterial SSU rRNA
Rfam family: Bacterial small subunit ribosomal RNA
Source: RNAcentral